Molecule: ribosomal RNA, 505 nt
Filed under: uncultured bacterium
Lineage: Bacteria
Description: partial 16S ribosomal RNA
Rfam family: Bacterial small subunit ribosomal RNA
Source: RNAcentral
GACGAACGCUGGCGGCGUGCCUAAUACAUGCAAGUAGAACGCACAGUUUAUACCGUAGCUUGCUACACCAUAGACUGUGAGUUGCGAACGGGUGAGUAACGCGUAGGUAACCUGCCUGGUAGCGGGGGAUAACUAUUGGAAACGAUAGCUAAUACCGCAUAAUAUUGAUUAUUGCAUGAUAAUUGAUUGAAAGAUGCUAUUGCAUCACUACCAGAUGGACCUGCGUUGUAUUAGCUAGUAGGUGAGGUAACGGCUCACCUAGGCGACGAUACAUAGCCGACCUGAGAGGGUGAUCGGCCACACUGGGACUGAGACACGGCCCAGACUCCUACGGGAGGCAGCAGUAGGGAAUCUUCGGCAAUGGACGAAAGUCUGACCGAGCAACGCCGCGUGAGUGAAGAAGGUUUUCGGAUCGUAAAGCUCUGUUGUAAGAGAAGAACGGGUGUGAGAGUGGAAAGUUCACACUGUGACGGUAUCUUAACAGAAAGAGACGGCUAACUACGUG